Molecule: ribosomal RNA, 537 nt
Filed under: Holacanthus tricolor (rock beauty)
Lineage: Eukaryota; Metazoa; Chordata; Actinopteri; Pomacanthidae
Description: partial 16S ribosomal RNA
Rfam family: Bacterial large subunit ribosomal RNA
Source: RNAcentral
CAAAAUUAAUAAAUAAGAGGUCCCGCCUGCCCUGUGACUAUAUGUUUAACGGCCGCGGUAUUUUGACCGUGCAAAGGUAGCGCAAUCACUUGUCUUUUAAAUGGAGACCCGUAUGAAUGGCACAACGAGGGCUUAACUGUCUCUUCUUUCAAGUCAAUGAAAUUGAUCUCCCCGUGCAGAAGCGGGGAUACGCACAUAAGACGAGAAGACCCUGUGGAGCUUUAGGCACCAAGGCAGACUAUGUUAAGUACCCCAGACUAAUGACUAAAACAACUUAUAACCUGCCCUAAUGCCUUCGGUUGGGGCGACCGCGGGGAAAUAAAAAACCCCCAUGUGGAAUGGGAACACCUCCUAAAACUAAGAGCCCCCGCUCUAAUAAACAGAACUUCUGACUAAUAAGAUCCGGCAAUACCGAUCAACGGACCAAGUUACCCCAGGGAUAACAGCGCAAUCCCCUUUUAGAGCCCAUAUCGACAAGGGGGUUUACGACCUCGAUGUUGGAUCAGGACAUCCUAAUGGUGCAGCCGCUAUUAAGGG